This 183-nucleotide non-coding RNA is filed under the name Candidatus Latescibacterota bacterium. Its description in RNAcentral is "6S RNA". It matches the Rfam family "6S / SsrS RNA". Rfam says of the family: E. coli 6S RNA was the first non coding RNA to be sequenced, but its function was unknown until recently. It consists of 184 nucleotides that fold into an extended hairpin structure with a large single-stranded internal bulge. The record is from RNAcentral. Lineage: Bacteria; Pseudomonadati; Candidatus Latescibacterota.
GAUUCCCCACCGUGUUCGUGAUGUUAAGGGCGAUUAUUGAGCCAACACUUUCAUGAAGGAAGCCCAAAUCUGGCGGGGGAUGUCAUGCCUCUUAAACGUGGAAGGCUGAGCUCGUCAUGAGGGCAUCCACUUGAACCGAAAGGUUCAAGAGUUCCCUUGCUCACGGCAAUGCGUGGGGAAUUU